UGACUGCCCUAUGGGUUGUAAACUUCUUUUAUAAGGGAAUAAAGUUCGCCACGUGUGGUGUUUUGUAUGUACCUUAUGAAUAAGCAUCGGCUAAUUCCGUGCCAGCAGCCGCGGUAAUACGGAAGAUGCGAGCGUUAUCCGGAUUUAUUGGGUUUAAAGGGAGCGUAGGCGGGCUUUUAAGUCAGCGGUCAAAUGCCACGGCUCAACCGUGGCCAGCCGUUGAAACUGUAAGCCUUGAGUCUGCACAGGGCACAUGGAAUUCGUGGUGUAGCGGUGAAAUGCUUAGAUAUCACGAAGAACUCCGAUCGCGAAGGCAUUGUGCCGGGGCAGCACUGACGCUGAGGCUCGAAAGUGUGGGUAUCAAACAGGAUUAGAUACCCUGGUAGUCCGCACGGUAAACGAUGAAUGCUCGCUAUGGGCGAUAUAUUGUCCGUGGCCAAGCGAAAGCGUUAAGCAUUCCACCUGGGGAGUACGCCGGCAACGGUGAAACUCAAAGGAAUUGACGGGGGCCCGCACAAGCGGAGGAACAUGUGGGUUAAUUCGAUGAUACGCGAGGAACCUUACCCGGGCUUGAAUUGCAGGUGCAUGAGUCAGAGACGGCUCUUUCCUUCGGGACUCCUGUGAAGGUGCUGCAUGGUUGUCGUCAGCUCGUGCCGUGAGGUGUCGGCUUAAGUGCCAUAACGAGCGCAACCCUUCUCCCCAGUUGCCAUCGGGUAAUGCCGGGCCCUCUGGGGACACUGCCAUCGUAAGAUGCGAGGAAGGUGGGGAUGACGUCAAAUCAGCAC
Molecule: ribosomal RNA, 785 nt
Filed under: human gut metagenome
Description: bacterial SSU rRNA
Rfam family: Bacterial small subunit ribosomal RNA
Source: RNAcentral